This 487-nucleotide ribosomal RNA is filed under the name uncultured organism. RNAcentral describes it as "SSU rRNA". It matches the Rfam family "Bacterial small subunit ribosomal RNA", at positions 505 to 990 of the family's 1533-position model. The record is from RNAcentral.
GUGCCAGCAGCCGCGGUAAUACGUAGGGUGCGAGCGUUGUCCGGAAUUACUGGGCGUAAAGAGCUCGUAGGUGGUUUGUCGCGUUGUUCGUGAAAACUCACAGCUUAACUGUGGGCGUGCGGGCGAUACGGGCAGACUAGAGUACUGCGGGGGAGACUGGAAUUCCUGGUGUAGCGGUGGAAUGCGCAGAUAUCAGGAGGAACACCGGUGGCGAAGGCGGGUCUCUGGGCAGUAACUGACGCUGAGGAGCGAAAGCGUGGGGAGCGAACAGGAUUAGAUACCCUGGUAGUCCACGCCGUAAACGGUGGGUACUAGGUGUGGGUUCCUUCCUUGGGAUCCGUGCCGUAGCUAACGCAUUAAGUACCCCGCCUGGGGAGUACGGCCGCAAGGCUAAAACUCAAAGGAAUUGACGGGGGCCCGCACAAGCGGCGGAGCAUGUGGAUUAAUUCGAUGCAACGCGAAGAACCUUACCUGGGUUUGACAUGCA